This 834-nucleotide ribosomal RNA is filed under the name uncultured bacterium. RNAcentral's name for it is "bacterial SSU rRNA". It matches the Rfam family "Bacterial small subunit ribosomal RNA", at positions 105 to 935 of the family's 1533-position model. The record is from RNAcentral.
GGUGAGUAAUGCCUAGGAAUCUGCCUGGUAGUGGGGGACAACGUUUCGAAAGGAACGCUAAUACCGCAUACGUCCUAAGGGAGAAAGCAGGGAACCUUCGGGCCUUGCGCUACCAGAUGAGCCUAGGUCGGAUUAGCUUGUUGGUGAGGUAAUGGCUCACCAAGGCGACGAUCCGUAACUGGUCUGAGAGGAUGAUCAGUCACACUGGAACUGAGACACGGUCCAGACUCCUACGGGAGGCAGCAGUGGGGAAUAUUGGACAAUGGGCGAAAGCCUGAUCCAGCCAUGCCGCGUGUGUGAAGAAGGUCUUCGGAUUGUAAAGCACUUUAAGUUGGGAGGAAGGGUUGUAGAUUAAUACUCUGCAAUUUUGACGUUACCGACAGAAUAAGCACCGGCUAACUCUGUGCCAGCAGCCGCGGUAAUACAGAGGGUGCAAGCGUUAAUCGGAAUUACUGGGCGUAAAGCGCGCGUAGGUGGUUUGUUAAGUUGGAUGUGAAAGCCCCGGGCUCAACCUGGGAACUGCAUCCAAAACUGGCAAGCUAGAGUACGGUAGAGGGUGGUGGAAUUUCCUGUGUAGCGGUGAAAUGCGUAGAUAUAGGAAGGAACACCAGUGGCGAAGGCGACCACCUGGACUGAUACUGACACUGAGGUGCGAAAGCGUGGGGAGCAAACAGGAUUAGAUACCCUGGUAGUCCACGCCGUAAACGAUGUCAACUAGCCGUUGGAAUCCUUGAGAUUUUAGUGGCGCAGCUNACGCAUUAAGUUGACCGCCUGGGGAGUACGGCCGCAAGGUUAAAACUCAAAUGAAUUGACGGGGGCCCGCACAAGCGGUGG